RNAcentral lists this ribosomal RNA (301 nucleotides) under uncultured bacterium. Its description in RNAcentral is "bacterial SSU rRNA". It matches the Rfam family "Bacterial small subunit ribosomal RNA", at positions 775 to 1067 of the family's 1533-position model. The record is from RNAcentral.
GGAUUAGAUACCCUGGUAGUCCUAGCUGUAAACGAUGGGUACUAGGCUCUGGGAUUCCUGAUGAUUUCAGGGCCGUAGCUAAUGCGUUAAGUACCCCGCCUGGGGAGUAUGGUCGCAAGGCUAAAACUCAAAGGAAUUGACGGGGGCUCACACAAGCGGUGGAGCAUGUUGUUCAAUUCGAAGCAACGCGAAGAACCUUACCUGGCCUUGACAUGCUAGAUGUACGAACCUGAAAGGGGGAGGACCGGUAUCCAAUCCGGAACUAGCACAGGUGCUGCAUGGCUGUCGUCAGCUCGUGCUG